GACGAAUGCUGGCUGCGUGUUUAACACAUGCAAGUCGAACGGUGAGCAGGGGCUUGCCCCUGGGAUCAGUGGCGAACGGGUGAGUAACACGUGGGCAACCUGCCCCUCACUCUGGGAUAACUCCGGGAAACCGGGGCUAAUACCGGAUACGACCUGGUGCGACAUCGCACCGGGUGGAAAGAACUUCGGUGAGGGAUGGGCCCGCGGCCUAUCAGCUUGUUGGUGGGGUAACGGCCCACCAAGGCGACGACGGGUAGCCGGCCUGAGAGGGCGACCGGCCACACUGGGACUGAGACACGGCCCAGACUCCUACGGGAGGCAGCAGUGGGGAAUAUUGCGCAAUGGGCGAAAGCCUGACGCAGCGACGCAGCGUGAGGGACGAAGGCCUUCGGGUUGUAAACCUCUUUCAGCGGGGACGAAGCGCAAGUGACGGUACCCGCAGAAGAAGCACCGGCUAACUACGUGCCAGCAGCCGCCGUAA
This 481-nucleotide ribosomal RNA is filed under the name uncultured bacterium. Its description in RNAcentral is "partial 16S ribosomal RNA". It matches the Rfam family "Bacterial small subunit ribosomal RNA", at positions 28 to 523 of the family's 1533-position model. The record is from RNAcentral.